UACAGAGGGUGCAAACGUUUUUCGGAAUUACUGGGCGUAAAGCGCGUGUAGGCGGCCGGGUAAGUCGGGUGUGAAAUCCCACGGCUCAACCGUGGAAGUGCACUCGAAACUACCUGGCUGGAGUCCCGGAGAGGAAGGCGGAAUGCUCGGUGUAGAGGUGAAAUUCGUAGAUAUCGAGCGGAACACCGGUGGCGAAGGCGGCCUUCUGGACGGUGACUGACGCUGAGACGCGAAAGCGUGGGGAGCAAACAGG
This 253-nucleotide ribosomal RNA is filed under the name uncultured bacterium. RNAcentral describes it as "partial 16S ribosomal RNA". It matches the Rfam family "Bacterial small subunit ribosomal RNA", at positions 524 to 776 of the family's 1533-position model. The record is from RNAcentral.